GAUGAACGCUGGCGGCGUGCCUAAUACAUGCAAGUCGAGCGAAAAGACGAGGAGCUUUCUCCUCGAGCGUUAGCGGCGGACGUGUGAGUACGACGUGGAUAACCUACCUAUGAGACUGGAAUAACUUCGGGAAACAAUAGCUAAUACCGGAUAACAUGUUAAACCGCAGGGUGCAACAGUUCAAGCCGGUUGUGCUGUCACUUAUAGAUUGAGUCGCGUUGCAUUAGGUAGUUGGUCAGGUCACGGCUUAACAAGGCAACGAUGCGUAGCCGACCUUAGAGGGACAACCGCCAAAAUUGAACUGAGACACGGUCCCGACUCCUACGGGGAGCAGCAGUAGGGAAUCUUCCGCAAUGGGCGGAAGCCUGACGGAGCAAAGCCGCGGGAGUGAAAAAGGUCUUCGGAUUGUUAAACUCUGUUAGUAGGGAAGAAAAAGUGUCUAAGUAACUCUGCGCGUUAAGACCGUUCCCAAACAGAAAGGCACCGCUAACUUAGGU
Molecule: ribosomal RNA, 497 nt
Filed under: uncultured bacterium
Lineage: Bacteria
Description: partial 16S ribosomal RNA
Rfam family: Bacterial small subunit ribosomal RNA
Source: RNAcentral